CUUCUGUAUAUAAAGGCUCACUGAAUGGCAAUGAUCAUCAUCACCCAGCGCUCCAAAACAUCACGACCCCUGUCACAGAAUUGCACCGCGCUCGUUUAUCAGCAUGAAGUUUAUUGUGGUUCUGUUCUUCGCCAUGCUUGCCGUAGCCGCUGCGCAGCGCAGGACUAGAUUACUGCUCCCCAGACUUCCAGUUCUCCCCUCAUUUGGAGAUGAGGAGUAUGCUGCUUCUCUAGGGGGAGCCCCUAUCGGUUUGUACAGGAGGAACGAUGGCAGGGACGGGUUCGGUAGGUCCCAAGGUGGCUCUGAAGUGUCUGGAAUCUCUCUGGGAGGUGCCAAAGUUGGUCUGUACGGAAGGGAGCGCCCAAACAGGUUUCCACUUUUGGGAUAAGAAACAUAAAUCAGCCUUUACUGAUGCCGAAAUGGAGACGAAUUUCAACCACUGAACUUGGACCGAAGCACCCGGAAACGACCUGAAAGUGAAUGUAACUGCCACCGGAACAAAGACUGAAUGAAAUAAAAAAUGAAUAGAAGCCUAUUCUGUCAUUUUUUUUAUUU
Long non-coding RNA from Argiope bruennichi, 555 nucleotides. RefSeq lists it as uncharacterized. The transcript has 3 exons. Lineage: Eukaryota; Metazoa; Arthropoda; Arachnida; Araneae; Araneidae. The record is from RefSeq and is a predicted model, not a curated record.